This 206-nucleotide ribosomal RNA is filed under the name uncultured bacterium. Its description in RNAcentral is "partial 16S ribosomal RNA". It matches the Rfam family "Bacterial small subunit ribosomal RNA", at positions 568 to 774 of the family's 1533-position model. The record is from RNAcentral.
CACGUAGGCGGAUUUGUAAGUCAGGGGUGAAAUCCCGGGGCUCAACCUCGGAACUGCCUUUGAUACUGCAAAUCUCGAGUCCGGAAGAGGUGAGUGGAAUUCCUAGUGUAGAGGUGAAAUUCGUAGAUAUUAGGAAGAACACCAGUGGCGAAGGCGGCUCACUGGUCCGGUACUGACGCUGAGGUGCGAAAGCGUGGGAGCAAACA